GUUUUAAUAGUUUAUUUAAAAUAUUGAUUUUGUAAAUCAAAGAUAAAAUUUUUUUUUAAAACU
Molecule: transfer RNA, 63 nt
Filed under: Diprioninae sp. GYN-2022c
Lineage: Eukaryota; Metazoa; Arthropoda; Insecta; Hymenoptera; Diprionidae
Description: tRNA-Thr
Source: RNAcentral